This 456-nucleotide ribosomal RNA is filed under the name uncultured bacterium. RNAcentral's name for it is "bacterial SSU rRNA". It matches the Rfam family "Bacterial small subunit ribosomal RNA", at positions 340 to 786 of the family's 1533-position model. The record is from RNAcentral.
UACGGAAGGCAGCAGUGGGGAAUAAUUGCACAAUGGGCGCAAGCCUGAUGCAGCCAUGCCGCGUGUAUGAAGAAGGCCUUCGGGUUGUAAAGUACUUUCAGUCGUGAGGAAGGUGUUAAGGUUAAUAACCUUAGCAAUUGACGUUAGCGACAGAAGAAGCACCGGCUAACUCCGUGCCAGCAGCCGCGGUAAUACGGAGGGUGCGAGCGUUAAUCGGAAUUACUGGGCGUAAAGGGCACGCAGGCGGUUAAUUAAGUUGGAUGUGAAAUCCCCGGGCUUAACCUGGGAAUGGCAUUCAAGACUGGUUAGCUAGAGUCUUGUAGAGGGGGUAGAAUUCCAUGUGUAGCGGUGAAAUGCGUAGAGAUGUGGAGGAAUACCGGUGGCGAAGGCGGCCCCUGGACAAAGACUGACGCUCAUGUGCGAAAAGCGUGGGGAGCAAAACAGGGAUUAGAUACC